GACUCUGUGGCCAAAUGGAUACGGCAUCGGUUUCCGGUUCCCAAUAUGAUAAAUUUAAAAUUCAACAAAUAUAGAAUCUGGAAAUAGCCGGGGAUUGUGGGUUCAAGUCCCACCAGGGUCG
Molecule: transfer RNA, 121 nt
Filed under: Euroglyphus maynei
Lineage: Eukaryota; Metazoa; Arthropoda; Arachnida; Sarcoptiformes; Pyroglyphidae
Rfam family: tRNA
About the family: Transfer RNA (tRNA) molecules are approximately 80 nucleotides in length. Their secondary structure includes four short double-helical elements and three loops (D, anti-codon, and T loops).
Source: Rfam by way of RNAcentral